This 254-nucleotide ribosomal RNA is filed under the name uncultured bacterium. RNAcentral's name for it is "partial 16S ribosomal RNA". It matches the Rfam family "Bacterial small subunit ribosomal RNA", at positions 524 to 776 of the family's 1533-position model. The record is from RNAcentral.
UACGAGGGGGGCGAGCGUUGUCCCGGAUUUAUUGGGCGUAAAGAGCGUGUAGGCGGCCAGACAGGUCCGUUGUGAAAACUAGAGGCUUAACCUCUAGACGUCGAUGGAAACCGUUUGGCUAGAGUCCGGAAGAGGAGAAUGGAAUUCCUGGUGUAGCGGUGAAAUGCGCAGAUAUCAGGAAGAACACCCGUGGCUAAGGCGGUUCUCUAGUACGGUACUGACGCUGAGACGCGAAAGCGUGGGGAGCGAACAGG